Molecule: long non-coding RNA, 1945 nt
Organism: Xiphophorus couchianus (Monterrey platyfish)
Lineage: Eukaryota; Metazoa; Chordata; Actinopteri; Cyprinodontiformes; Poeciliidae
Exons: 3
Source: RefSeq, a predicted model, not a curated record
UGUUACUGCCCUGUGGUUUUCUGUCAGUUGCAAAAGAGCAACCUGAGCCCAUAACACAAACCCAAACAAGGAAGUCUAAAAGACUGCAGUCAAGUGCAACAAAAAGAGGUGCUGGACAUGAAGUUCCAGAGGAUUCGCUGCUGGACAGCGAGGAUGAAGAUGUGGAGUAUUAUUACUAUCCUCCAACAAAGAUGGUGACUGAUGUUGGAACCCGAAACGAUGAUGAACAGGACAGAGACAUGCAAAUUGGAUCUGAAGACCAAGUGUUGGACACAAAUGAACUUGCCAGUGAGAGAACAGAAACUGACAAUACAGAACAGGAUGUGACAAACGAACAUGUUUCAGUGCCAUCACUUAAUCCUGAAGCUUCACCAUUUGAGCCACAAGAGCCAAAAGAGACCAUAUCAGAAGAGCAGCAGCUCAAGGGUGAGUUAACCCAGUCACCCACACCUCGAAUGUCCAUCCAACCACCAGACCAUGUCAUAAUAGAUAUUGGCAACCCUGAAACAUCUGAAACUGUUAUCCCUAUUGGAACGGACAACCAUGAAGGGAAUGUUGAAGUAAGGAGAUCAACAAGAGAGAGAACCCAUCCCAAGAGACUCACCUACCCAUCCUUAGGAAACCCACUUGUGGUGGUUAUGCAGUCUUUACUUGGUGGCUUAGACAACGCACUGCAAAUAGCCCUUGAAUGUGACUUUUAUGCCCCUGUAUUUGAUGCUUAGGAGAUGUUGACAUGCAGGGACGCAUGCAAUUAAUGGGGGGGAGGAUGUAACCCACAUGUAUAUGUGUGGUACUGUUAGUGGUAUUUUAUUUCUGUAGGAUUUUGUUUUGUUAUUUAAUGUUCCCAGCAAUUUAGUUAUAUUUUCAUUUUGAGUUUUCUUGUCAUACCAGAAACCGCCAGCAGGUGGCUUGUGAGUUACACUCUGGUUUAGACAGCAGGAAACUAUUAGAAGAAGAAGAAAACCGUAGCUGGCUGUAGCACGUUGUGCGAAUUACCGCAUGCUAUAAGAUAAAUUCUUGAUUAAUUCCGGUAACGGUUAAGAGAAAAGAAGAUCCGUGACCUGAUCCCUGGCAGUAAAACACAUUUUUACUGUGAUUUUCUCUGGUGAGUGUUGUAACGUGUUUUUGCAACCGAAAUUAAGCUAAUGCUAACUGGCGUCAUAGGCAUUACUGCUCAUAUAUUCCAACAAGGAAGAACAGAGAAACGUAAAUAAAACCAAUCGGAGAAACGUGUGAGAUUAAAAUGAUGAUUUUCACUGUAUUGCAUUUUUGUUAUGUACAAACUAAGAGGUUGGAUACAGUGUGAUACGUUUGUUUUGCAAGCUUGCCAUUAGUUGAAUAUUAUUUUUGUGAUAAAUGGAAUUUAUUGCUUCCUGCAUACUUUUGAAACUUAAUAGUUAAUUAAGUUCUAUAUAUAUGCAGGUUGGUUUUUUUUAGAACCCCAUUCAACUUUGAAGACUGUCCAGCUGCAUAGCAUCGCAGGCCUGGAUUGGAUUGCUGAGCUCCAGGUUUCAACCCAAGACCUGGGACUGCUGGAUCCGCUGCCUACUUUGCACUGGAUAAGAUAAGAUUUUGGAUCCAAAGAAACACAUGACCUUUUAACAAAGACUUGACUGACUGACUUAAAUUACUGAACUAAGAAAACAAAACUUCCAAAGGACAAACUGAACUAUAAGGAAUCUGAACCAAAAGAAAAUACACUGCCUGAUAAAAAAAGGUGGACACUUUAUGUUGGAACAAAAAAAACUGUACCGUAAUAUUCUGUUUCAAGUUGUAUUAAAUAAUCUGUUCAUUCUUGAUAAUAUGGUUGUUUGUGCUUAUUAUCCUCCUUUUUGAACUUAGAAAGAUAGACUAACUGUAACUUCAACAUUGAAAUCUAAGUUUCUCAACUUAUCUAUUCGUAAGUUACACUAGUUGGUUACAGGAUCAAAGGGUAAAAGUCAAA